Molecule: ribosomal RNA, 467 nt
Filed under: uncultured bacterium
Lineage: Bacteria
Description: partial 16S ribosomal RNA
Rfam family: Bacterial small subunit ribosomal RNA
Source: RNAcentral
ACGCACGCUGGCGGCGUGCUUAACACAUGCAAGUCGAACGGAAAGGCCCUGCUUUUGUGGGGUGCUCGAGUGGCGAACGGGUGAGUAACACGUGAGUAACCUGCCCUUGACUUUGGGAUAACUUCAGGAAACUGGGGCUAAUACCGGAUAGGAGCUCCUGCUGCAUGGUGGGGGUUGGAAAGUUUCGGCGGUUGGGGAUGGACUCGCGGCUUAUCAGCUUGUUGGUGGGGUAGUGGCUUACCAAGGCUUUGACGGGUAGCCGGCCUGAGAGGGUGACCGGCCACAUUGGGACUGAGAUACGGCCCAGACUCCUACGGGAGGCAGCAGUGGGGAAUAUUGCACAAUGGGCGGAAGCCUGAUGCAGCAACGCCGCGUGCGGGAUGAAGGCCUUCGGGUUGUAAACCGCUUUCGCCUGUGACGAAGCGUGAGUGACGGUAAUGGGUAAAGAAGCACCGGCUAACUACGUG